This 328-nucleotide ribosomal RNA is filed under the name uncultured eukaryote. RNAcentral describes it as "partial 18S ribosomal RNA". It matches the Rfam family "Eukaryotic small subunit ribosomal RNA", at positions 1470 to 1796 of the family's 1831-position model. The record is from RNAcentral.
CCCUUAGAUGUCCGGGGCUGCACGCGCGCUACACUGAAGGAAUCAGCGUGCUAAAACCAUUGUCGAAAGGCAUUGGUAAACCCAUUAAAAUCCUACGUGGUUGGGAUCGGGAAUUGCAAUUAUUUCCCUUGAACGAGGAAUUCCCAGUAAGUGUGGGUCAUAAGCUCGCGUUGAUUACGUCCCUGCCCUUUGUACACACCGCCCGUCGCUGCCCGGGACUGAGCCGUUUCGAGAAAAGCGGGGACUGCUGCUGUCGGGGCUUUCGGGCCUUGGCUUCGGUGGAAACCGCUUUAAUCGCAGUGGCUUGAACCGGGCAAAAGUCGUAACA